AUUGAACGCUGGUGGCAUGCCUUACACAUGCAAGUCGAACGGCAGCACGGGAGCAAUCCUGGUGGCGAGUGGCGAACGGGUGAGUAAAGUAUCGGAACGUGCCCAGUCGUGGGGGAUAACGUAGCGAAAGUUACGCUAAUUCCGCAUACGAUCUAUGGAUGAAAGCGGGGGAUCGCAAGACCUCGCGCGAUUGGAGCGGCCGAUGUCAGAUUAGGUAGUUGGUGGGGUAAAGGCUAACCAAGCCGACGAUCUGUAGCUGGUCUGAGAGGACGACCAGCCACACGGGGACUGAGACACGGCCCAGACUCCUACGGGAGUCAGCAGUGGGGAAUUUUGGACAAUGGGCGAAAGCCUGAUCCAGCCAUGCCGCGUGCAGGAUGAAGGCCUUCGGGUUGUAAACUGCUUUUGUACGGAACGAAAAGGUUUGGCCUAAUAAGCUGAGCUCAUGACGGUACCGUAAGAAUAAGCACCGGCUAACUACGUGCCAGCCGCCGCGGUAA
Molecule: ribosomal RNA, 500 nt
Filed under: uncultured bacterium
Lineage: Bacteria
Description: partial 16S ribosomal RNA
Rfam family: Bacterial small subunit ribosomal RNA
Source: RNAcentral